RNAcentral lists this ribosomal RNA (253 nucleotides) under uncultured bacterium. Its description in RNAcentral is "partial 16S ribosomal RNA". It matches the Rfam family "Bacterial small subunit ribosomal RNA", at positions 524 to 776 of the family's 1533-position model. The record is from RNAcentral.
GACGAACCGUGCGAACGUUGUUCGGAAUCACUGGGCUUAAAGGGCGCGUAGGCGGGCGGUCUCGUCAGGGGUGAAAUCCUGCCGCUCAACGGCAGAACUGCCUUUGAUACGGGCCGUCUCGAGGGAGGUAGGGGCCUGCGGAACUUCCGGUGGAGCGGUGAAAUGCGUAGAUAUCGGAAGGAACGCCGGUGGCGAAAGCGGCGGGCUGGACCUCUUCUGACGCUGAGGCGCGAAAGCCAGGGGAGCGAACGGG